CCUACGGGUGGCAGCAGUGGGGAAUAUUGGGCAAUGGGCGCAAGCCUGACCCAGCAACGCCGCGUGAAGGAAGAAGGCUUUAGGGUUGUAAACUUCUUUUCUCAGGGACGAAGCAAGUGACGGUACCUGAGGAAUAAGACACGGCUAACUACGUGCCAGCAGCCGCGGUAAUACGGAGGUGGCAAGCGUUAUCCGGAUUUACUGGGUGUAAAGGGCGUGUAGGCGGGACUGCAAGUCAGAGGUGAAAACCACGGGCUCAACCUGUGGCCUGCAUUUGAAACUGUAGGUCUUGAGUACUGGAGAGGCAGACGGAAUGUCUAGUGUAGCGGUGAAAUGCUUAGAUAUUAGGAGGAACACCAGUGGCGAAGGCGGUCUGCUGGACAGCUACUGACGCUGAGGCGCGAAAGCGUGGGGAGCAAACAGGAUUAGAUACCCCAGUAGUC
Molecule: ribosomal RNA, 443 nt
Filed under: uncultured bacterium
Lineage: Bacteria
Description: partial 16S ribosomal RNA
Rfam family: Bacterial small subunit ribosomal RNA
Source: RNAcentral